Molecule: ribosomal RNA, 345 nt
Filed under: uncultured bacterium
Lineage: Bacteria
Description: partial 16S ribosomal RNA
Rfam family: Bacterial small subunit ribosomal RNA
Source: RNAcentral
CCUACGGGUGGCAGCAGUGGGGAAUAUUGCACAAUGGAGGAAACCCUGAAGCAGCAACGCCGCGUGAAGGAAGACGGUUCUCGGAGUGUAAACCUCUGUUCUUAGUGAAGAAUACUGACGGAAGCUAAGGAGCAAGCCACGGCUAACUACGUGCCAGCAGCCGCGGUAAUAGGUAGGAGGCAAGCGUUGUCCGGAAUUACUGGGUGUAAAGGGAGCGCAGGCGGGAAGCCAAGUCAGAUGUGAAAACUCCGGGCUUAACUUGUGGACUGAAGUUGAAACUGGUUUUCUUGAGUGAAGUAGAGGUUGGCGGAAUGCCGGGUGUAGCGGUGAAAUGCGUAGAUAUUC